RNAcentral lists this ribosomal RNA (349 nucleotides) under Samia ricini (Indian eri silkmoth). RNAcentral describes it as "partial 16S ribosomal RNA". The record is from RNAcentral. Lineage: Eukaryota; Metazoa; Arthropoda; Insecta; Lepidoptera; Saturniidae.
CCCUAAUGCUGCUGUAUGAGGAUUGGAUGAGAUAUAAGCUGUCUGAUAAUAUUUAAUUGAAUUUAAUUUUUUAUUUAAAAAGUUAAAAUAAUUUAAAAAGACGAGAAGACCCUAUAGAGUUUUAUAUUAAAUUAAAUUAAAAUUAUUUAUAUAAUUAUUAAUAUAGAUUUAAUUUUAGUAUUUUGUUGGGGUGACAAAAAAAUAAAUAAAACUUUUUUUAUUAUUUACAUAAAUAAAUGAAUUUUUGAUCCAAUUUUAUUGAUUAAAAGAAAAAAUUACCUUAGGGAUAACAGCGUAAUUUUUUUUUUUAGUUCUUAUUAAAAAAAAAGUUUGCGACCUCGAUGUUGGA